GAUCCUGCAGUACGCGCGGUCCUCUUCACAUUCGAAUUCUCCGAAACUUCUCGUGCCUAUUUUCUCUCCGCUUUCUCUCUUUCUCUCUCCUUUCUCUCUCUUCUCCUCCUUUCUCCUUUUUUUCUCCUCUUCAUUCCGAUUGCAAAGUUUCGCCCUCGCCUCGACGAACUAUUUCAAAAAUUCCGUCGUUAUCGAGCCACUGAAGCACAGCCUCCGCUUCUUGAGUAUCAAAACUACUCGUGGCCCAACUAUAGUUGCCCUUUGGCAGGCUCCCGCGGACGGGAUCCUCGCGGUAAGCCCCCGUCAGCACGCGGCGGACGGCUUCGCCGUGUUUUUCCUAAGAAAGUACACGCGCGAGAGAAAAAGAGAUCAAGGGAAAGAGCGAGAAAAAUCUUCCCCUUCCCCCUCUUCGGUCUCUCGCUGCUCGUGCCUCUCUCCCCUUGUUCGCCCGGCAGAGUUUACACACGCGACCCUCUCCGGCCUCUCUGGCGAAGCCAGUUCCGUUCGAGACACCGCGCCUGUCGGUCGUCUCAUCCGCUCUCUCUGGCUUACCUGCGCAACCCUCUCUCUUUCCCUCCUGGGUUUUACCUGGCCAAGACUCUAACGCGUGCUAUAAUACACUUCGCGGAAACCCUCUUCGGGGACGUUGCGAACCAAAAGAAUAUGAACUUCGACGUGCAAACAUUAGGCCACCCUUACGAAAGAGCACGUAAACGUUGUCUGACUGUGUGAAAAAAUACAAGGUGCGUGCACAACUCCCUUUAGUUGAAACACCAACAGAUCGAGACUCGAGCGAUAAGAAAACUUUGUACCGGAAUUAAGUAAUGAAAAAAGAAGUUUAGGUGAUUGAGAUAUUGACGGAAAAUAACGAGCCGCCAGAACUUUGGGUUCAUUUGUGUCGAAAUACAGUUUCGAUGCUCCGGUGUGUGCGUGCGUGAGUGUUUUUAAUCCAAAUUACGAGUACUUUUAUUCGAAGGGCUUAUACGAGAAACAAGCACGUUUUAUGCUCGGUCGUUGUCGACAGUCUAUAGUGUUCGGUCACGUGGAUUAAGGCCACACGCGGGCUUUGCACAAUAUAUACAUGUGUCUCCAUAUGCAUACAUGAAUUUAUUUGUGUACACAUGGCUUGUAGAGUACAGCAGUGAUCGGCGAAGAGAGCGAGAGAGAGAGGGAGAGAGAUUUCAACCUACUACUGUUCGGGUAGUGGUCAACCUACGACACAGUGCGGUUACAUCGUGAUGGUUCAUCACCCCCUUCAACUUCAAGCUCCUGCUCGUAGUUCUGCAUCCCUUGUCCUGUCCUCAUCCCAUUCCUGUCAGAUACCAACGUUUCACUAGCUACCAUCAUUAACGGAGCUAUUUCACCGCUGGAACUGAUAGCUCUGUGUCAUUACACCGAUUCCCUCGAUCCGUAGAGGCUAGACGAGAUUCACCGUCUUACAGGGAGCUCAAUUGAAGGCGACGUUCGUGACGACCCGAGGAAACCUCAUUCAAUCAACAAUCACGAAUGUCUCUCUGAGCCUAUUUUCCUGUCAUUAAAAAAUACGAGCCUUCGAGACGUCUCCUUAAGGGAUGAAGAAUGCGAGGCAUUUUUCCAACGAUACACGAAACGCCGGGGAAUAAAUUGACGACAGUUUUCAUUGUGAUUCGUUUUAUUUCGGGGUUAUUCAUUUUUUAACCGGUGAAAUUAACUAUUAAAAGGAGGAAUUAUUUUCCCUAUGGACACACGUUGCAUCGACGCUUAAACGAGAGUCGAUGUUCUCGAGCCGGAGACACGUCAAUCGCACACUCUACCAUUGGACCAUAACUACGGGCGUAUAUCGGGAGACUGUGCGGGUACCAACGCUAGAUCACGUGACCACCGAAAAUUUUGUUUAUACCCGAUGCGGGCAAACCUUGGCGAAACAAUGGGCCUGAACGUUUAGAUACGUGUUCAUGAGAAAUUUUAUGUAAUAUAUAUGGUCACGGACACAUAAUGAAUCAAUGAAAAGAUACUUGUAAAUGAUUUAUACUUACGUGCUUCAAAAAUGAUGCGAACAACAG
This 2042-nucleotide unclassified non-coding RNA is filed under the name Venturia canescens. Its description in RNAcentral is "carboxypeptidase N subunit 2-like, transcript variant X3". Lineage: Eukaryota; Metazoa; Arthropoda; Insecta; Hymenoptera; Ichneumonidae. The record is from RNAcentral.